Long non-coding RNA from Physeter macrocephalus (sperm whale), 952 nucleotides. RefSeq lists it as uncharacterized. The transcript is spliced from 4 exons. NCBI's taxonomy places the organism in Eukaryota, Metazoa, Chordata, Mammalia, Artiodactyla, Physeteridae. The record is from RefSeq and is a predicted model, not a curated record.
GCCGCUGGGGAGUCGGCCCCAACCCCUGCCCGAUCCUCUGGCAGCGUCCUUACGCGUUCAGGCGCGGGCGUGCUGAUUGGCUUGGUCUAGGCUGGAGAAGCUCGACGAGCCAGCAACUCCUGCGGGGAGGGCGCCGGGUCAGGCGGUGAACAGGAGGCUGGAGGACAGGCCUGGCCGGAGCAACGCCCCUCGCAGCGCUCCCUCUGGACGGCCUAUAAAUGCUGUGAAUAUGUGGGAUGGGGGCUCCUGAGCCCCUGGAUCUUUCUCUCAGGCAAUCUGGUCUGCCCUUUGAAGAACCCAACAGCUCAGCCUUCUGUGAAUUGUCCCUGCUGACAUGGUCGACUUCACUCCCCAGACCUACUUGACCUCUAGUAAACAAAAAACUCCUACAGAUUGCUAAGAAAAAGUCAAAUGACCCAAUACAAAAAUGGGCCAAGGUAGAACCAGACAAUUCACAGAAGAGGAGCUGCAGAUGUUGAGAAGACUCUCAACAUGUCUAAGUGUCAGGAACAUUCAAAUGAGAACAGCACCCCUGAGGGUGACAAAAAUUCGAAAGACCUAUAUAGCAUUUGGAGCUGGUUUUGGUGUGAAAUGUUCUCCUUAAUUCCGUUUUGGAUCCAGAUAAUUCAGAAGAGAUUGUUUAAUUUCCAAAUAUUACAGAUCUACCCCUUUCUGGAAGAGAUACAGGACAUCAUUAUUCAAGAACAAGUGUACAAGGGAAAAAAAAGAAAAAACACUUUGAAGCGCAUCCACUUAGGGGAAGGCAGAAUUUCAUGCAAAAAGUAAAAAGGCGUUAUUGGCACUGUAUGGUGACAAAUGAAACAAAAUAUUGUGAAAAAUACAUUUAUCCAAUAUUUACUAAAAUUUAGGUUACAAUUGGAAGGAUGUAAUUAUGUUUUAGAACAAACAAAUAUACAUCUGGUGAACCUUUCCAUAUGUAUGUUGUAGUUAA